UACGUAGGGUGCAGGCGUUAAUCGGAAUUACUGGGCGUAAAGCGUGCGCAGGCGGUUUGCUAAGACAGGUGUGAAAUCCCCGGGCUUAACCUGGGAACUGCGCUUGUAACUGGCAAGCUAGAGUGUGGCAGAGGGGGGUGGAAUUCCACGUGUGAGCAGUGAAAUGCGUAGAGAGUGUGGAGGAACACCGAUGGCGAAGGCAGCCCCCUGGGCGUAACACUGACGCUCAUGCACGAAAGCGUGGGGAGCAAACAGG
This 256-nucleotide ribosomal RNA is filed under the name uncultured bacterium. Its description in RNAcentral is "partial 16S ribosomal RNA". It matches the Rfam family "Bacterial small subunit ribosomal RNA", at positions 524 to 776 of the family's 1533-position model. The record is from RNAcentral.